This 632-nucleotide ribosomal RNA is filed under the name uncultured bacterium. Its description in RNAcentral is "bacterial SSU rRNA". It matches the Rfam family "Bacterial small subunit ribosomal RNA", at positions 294 to 917 of the family's 1533-position model. The record is from RNAcentral.
GAGAGGGUGAUCGGCCACACUGGGACUGAGACACGGCCCAGACUCCUACGGGAGGCAGCAGUAGGGAAUCUUCCACAAUGGACGAAAGUCUGAUGGAGCAACGCCGCGUGAGUGAUGAAGGUUUUCGGAUCGUAAAACUCUGUUGUAAGGGAAGAACAGAUACGAGAGGUAAUGCUCGUAUCCUGACGGUACCUUGCGAGAAAGCCACGGCUAACUACGUGCCAGCAGCCGCGGUAAUACGUAGGUGGCAAGCGUUGUCCGGAAUUAUUGGGCGUAAAGCACGCGCAGGCGGCCUUUUAAGUCUGAUGUGAAAGCCCCCGGCUCAACCGGGGAGGGUCAUUGGAAACUGGAAGGCUUGAGUACAGAAGAGAAGAGUGGAAUUCCAUGUGUAGCGGUGAAAUGCGUAGAGAUGUGGAGGAACACCAGUGGCGAAGGCGACUCUUUGGUCUGUAACUGACGCUGAGGCGCGAAAGCGUGGGGAGCAAACAGGAUUAGAUACCCUGGUAGUCCACGCCGUAAACGAUGAGUGCUAGGUGUUGGGGGGUUUCCGCCCCUCAGUGCUGAAGCUAACGCAUUAAGCACUCCGCCUGGGGAGUACGGCCGCAAGGCUGAAACUCAAAGGAAUUGACGGG